RNAcentral lists this ribosomal RNA (497 nucleotides) under uncultured bacterium. Its description in RNAcentral is "partial 16S ribosomal RNA". It matches the Rfam family "Bacterial small subunit ribosomal RNA", at positions 28 to 507 of the family's 1533-position model. The record is from RNAcentral.
GAUGAACGCUGGCGGCGUGCCUAAUACAUGCAAGUCGAGCGAACAGACGAGGAGCUUGCUCCUCUGACGUUAGCGGCGGACGGGUGAGUAACACGUGGAUAACCUACCUAUAAGACUGGGAUAACUUCGGGAAACCGGAUCUCAUACCGGAUAAUAUAUUGAACCGCAUGGUUCACUAGUGAAAGACGGUUUUGCUGUCACUUAUAGAUGGAUCCGCGCCGCAUUAGCUAGUUGGUAAGGUAACGGCUUACCAAGGCGACGAUGCGUAGCCGACCUGAGAGGAUGAUCGGCCACACUGGAACUGAGACACGGUCCAGACUCCUACGGGAGGCAGCAGUAGGGAAUCUUCCGCAAUGGGCGAAAGCCUGACGGAGCAACGCCGCGUGAGUGAUGAAGGUCUUCGGAUCGUAAAACUCUGUUAUUAGGGAAGAACAAAUGUGUAAGUAACUAGGCACGUCUUGACGGUACCUAAUCAGAAAGCCACGGCUAACUACGUG